GGGGGGGGGGGGGGGGGGGGGGGGGGGGGGGGGGGCGGGGGGGUGGGGGGGGCGGGGGCCGGGAUUGGGCGGGGGGGGGGUGAGUAGUGCGUAGGAGGCGGCCUGGUGGUGGGGGAGAGCGUGGGGAAACGGGGGCUUGUACCGCAUACGUCCUGAGGUAGUAAUUGUGGGAUCGUCGGACCUGACGCUAUCAGAUGAGCGUAGGUCGGAUUAGCUAGUUGGUGGGGUAAGGGCCUACCAUGGCGACGAUCCGUAACUGGUCUGAGAGGAUGAUCCGUCACAUGGGAACUGAGACACGUACCAGACUCCGACGGGAGGCAGCAGUGGGGAGUCUUGGACAAUGGACGCAAGCCUGAUCCAGCCAAGACGCGUGUGUGAAGAACGUCUACGGCUUGUAAAGCACUUUCAGUAAGGAGGCAGUGCAGUAAGUUAAUACCUGGCUUUUUGCCGUUACCAACAGAAUAAGCGCCGGCUAACUUCGUG
Molecule: ribosomal RNA, 483 nt
Filed under: uncultured bacterium
Lineage: Bacteria
Description: partial 16S ribosomal RNA
Rfam family: Bacterial small subunit ribosomal RNA (bases 52-483)
Source: RNAcentral